GGGUGCGAUCAUACCAGCACUAAUGCACCGGAUCCCAUCAGAACUCCGAAGUUAAGUGUGCWUGGGCGRGAGUAGUMCUAGGAUGGGUGACCUCCUGGGAAGUCCUCGUGUUGCACCCC
RNAcentral lists this ribosomal RNA (119 nucleotides) under Prolixibacteraceae bacterium JC049. Lineage: Bacteria; Pseudomonadati; Bacteroidota; Bacteroidia; Marinilabiliales; Prolixibacteraceae. The record is from RNAcentral.